CAUUUGAAAGCACUUUACAAAUAACAGUGAUCUUUCACUGAUGCACGGUAUGCCAAGAACAAGAUCAGCUCAGGAAGAUGGACAAAGAACCACUGCUGCUCUCCUGCUCAGCACAUGCAAUAGGGAUGAAACAAGAACGACCCCUUCAAUGACUGCUUUUCUUCGUGUACCUUACAGCUUUCUCCAGCUUAUGAUGGGAUCUCUGGUUGCAGUGCUGUGUGUCAGCCAGGGUUAUCCUGAGGGGCUGUUUGCCACCCACGUGCACUUCCUGUGGAAGCAGCAGUCAGUCGAGGUGAAGGAGCAGAAGGUUGCAGUGCUGGGGCAGCAGCUCCAAAGCAAAGCGACGGACUCCUGGAGAGAAAUCAGCUCUUCCAGAACCUGAUUCUUCUUGUCCUUCUGCAGAUGUCUCAAAAUCAGGUAAAAAAAUGAGCCUUCUUCUCUCUGGCUACAGAGGGAGCCCAGCUGGCUAUCUGAGACAAGAGAGGUGGUAAGCACUGAAGUGAGGUGAAAUUAAUCCCUUUGCAUCUUUAGAAGUGAGG
Molecule: long non-coding RNA, 539 nt
Filed under: Gallus gallus (chicken)
Lineage: Eukaryota; Metazoa; Chordata; Aves; Galliformes; Phasianidae
Description: lncRNA (ENSGALG00010013626.1)
Source: RNAcentral